RNAcentral lists this ribosomal RNA (495 nucleotides) under uncultured bacterium. Its description in RNAcentral is "partial 16S ribosomal RNA". It matches the Rfam family "Bacterial small subunit ribosomal RNA", at positions 28 to 508 of the family's 1533-position model. The record is from RNAcentral.
GACGAACGCUGGCGGCGCGCUUAACACAUGCAAGUCGAACGGAAAGGCCUGCUUUCCCUUGUGGAUUGCGGGUACUCGAGUGGCGAACGGGUGAGUAACACGUGAGUGAUCUGCCCCCAACUUGGGUAUAAGCCUGGGAAACUGGGUCUAAUUCCCGAUAGGACUGCAGGGUGGUGCCUGUGGUGGAAAACGAUUUUCUAGUGGUUGGGGAUGAGCUCGCGGCCUAUCAGCUUGUUGGUGGGGUAAUGGCCUACCAAGGCGGCGACGGGUAGCCGGCCUGAGAGGGUGGACGGCCACAUUGGGACUGAGAUACGGCCCAGACUCCUACGGGAGGCAGCAGUGGGGAAUAUUGCACAAUGGGCGGAAGCCUGAUGCAGCGACGCCGCGUGGGGGAGGACGGCCUUCGGGUUGUAAACUCCUUUCGACCGCGAGGAAGCCACCUGGUUGGAAGGGUGGUGACGGUAGGGGUAGAAGAAGCACCGGCUAACUACGUGC